UACGGAGGUGGCAAGCGUUGCUCGGAAUCACUGGGCUUAAAGGGCGCGUAGGCGGCCGGAUAAGUCGGGUGUGAAAUCCCUCGGCUCAACCGAGGAACUGCACCCGAUACUGUUCGGCUUGAGUGUGGGAGGGGAGAGUGGAACUCCAGGUGUAGCGGUGAAAUGCGUAGAUAUCUGGAGGAACGCCGGUGGCGAAAGCGACUCUCUGGCCCGCAACUGACGCUGAGGCGCGAAAGCCAGGGUAGCGAACGGG
RNAcentral lists this unclassified non-coding RNA (253 nucleotides) under uncultured Planctomycetota bacterium. RNAcentral describes it as "uncultured planctomycete contains 16S-23S intergenic spacer region". It matches the Rfam family "Bacterial small subunit ribosomal RNA", at positions 524 to 776 of the family's 1533-position model. Lineage: Bacteria; Pseudomonadati; Planctomycetota. The record is from RNAcentral.